UAAGUAGUCGCAGGGUUGGAAAAUCCGCCCUGCAUAAGACGAAGGCGUGAUGCGGAGCGAAAUGAAGUAGUGAAGCUGCGGCCCCUUCCUGUCGAGAAAAGCCGCUAUCGUGUAGCAAGGGCCCGUACCGUAAACCGACAGGUGGAUGAGGAGAGGAUCCUAAGGCCGGCGGGAGAAGUGUUGUUAAGGAACUCGGCAAAAUGACUCCGUAACUUCGGGAGAAGGAGUGCUGCGCAAGCAGCCGCAGAGAAAUGGCCCAAGCAACUGUUUAGCAAAAACACAGGUCUAUGCGAAACCGGAAGGUGAGGUAUAUGGGCUGACGCCUGCCCGGUGCUGGAAGGUUAAGGGGAGAGCUUAGCAUAAGCGAAGGUUUGAACUUAAGCCCCAGUAAACGGCGGCCGUAACAAUAACGGUCCUAAGGUAGCGAAAUUCCUUGUCGGGUAAGUUCCGACCCGCACGAAAGGCGUAAUGAUUUGGGCACUGUCUCAACAACACACCCGGUGAAAUUGAAAUACCAGUGAAGAUGCUGGUUACCCGCGCCAGGACGGAAAGACCCCAUGGAGCUUUACUCCAGCCUGAUACUGGGAUUCGGUAUUGCAUGUACAGGAUAGGUGGGAGGCUAAGAACUUAUGGCGCCAGCCGUAAGGGAGCCGAUGUUGGGAUACCACCCCUGCAGUACUGGGUUUCUAACCUGCGCCCGUGACCCGGGCGGGGGACAAUGUCAGGCGGGGAGUUUGACUGGGGCGGUCGCCUCCGAAAGGGUAUCGGAGGCGCUCAAAGGUCUCCUCAGGAUGGUUGGAAACCAUCCAGAGAGUGCAAAGGCAGAAGGAGGCUUGACUGCGACACCGACGGGUGGAGCAGGUACGAAAGUAGGACUUAGUGAUCCGGUGGCAUAAAGUGGGAUUGCCAUCGCUCAACGGAUAAAAGCUACCCUGGGAUAACAGGCUUAUCACUCCCAAGAGUUCACAUCGACGGAGUGGUUUGGCACCUCGAUGUCGGCUCAUCGCAUCCUGGAGCUGGAGCAGGUUCCAAGGGUUGGGCUGUUCGCCCAUUAAAGCGGUACGCGAGCUGGGUUCAGAACGUCGUGAGACAGUUCGGUCCCUAUCCGGCGCGGGCGCAGGAUAUCUGAGAGGAGCUGUCCUUAGUACGAGAGGACCGGGAUGGACCGUCCGCUGGUGGACCGGUUGUCAUGCCAAUGGCACGGCCGGGUAGCCAAGACGGGAAGGGAUAAACGCUGAAGGCAUCUAAGCGUGAAGCCCCCCUCAAGAUGAGAUAUCCAUACUCGAAAGAGUGAGAGACCCCUUAGAGACGAUGAGGUAGAUAGGGCAGAGAUGGAAGCACAGCGAUGUGUGGAGUUGACUGUUACUAAUCGGUCGAAAGCUU
Molecule: ribosomal RNA, 1383 nt
Filed under: metagenome
Description: bacterial LSU rRNA
Rfam family: Bacterial large subunit ribosomal RNA
Source: RNAcentral